GAUGAACGCUAGCUACAGGCUUAACACAUGCAAGUCGCAGGGUAACAUGAGGAAAGCUUGCUUUCCUUGAUGACGACUGGCGCACGGGUGAGUAACGCGUAUCCAACCUUCCCAUAACUACGGGAUAACCCGUUGAAAGACGGCCUAAUACCGUAUGAUAUCGUUUGCUGACAUCAAAUAACGAUUAAAGGUUUAGCGGUUAUGGAUGGGGAUGCGUCUGAUUAGCUUGUUGGCGGGGUAACGGCCCACCAAGGCGACGAUCAGUAGGGGUUCUGAGAGGAAGGUCCCCCACAUUGGAACUGGGACACGGUCCAAACUCCUACGGGAGGCAGCAGUGAGGAAUAUUGGUCAAUGGGCGAGAGCCUGAACCAGCCAAGUAGCGUGCAGGACGACGGCCCUAUGGGUUGUAAACUGCUUUUAUGUGGGGAUAAAGUGCGUGACGUGUCAUGCAUUGCAGGUACCACAUGAAUAAGGACCGGCUAAUUCCGUG
RNAcentral lists this ribosomal RNA (490 nucleotides) under uncultured bacterium. RNAcentral's name for it is "partial 16S ribosomal RNA". It matches the Rfam family "Bacterial small subunit ribosomal RNA", at positions 28 to 507 of the family's 1533-position model. The record is from RNAcentral.